GCUGAGCAGGCUGCCAUGGAGGCUCAGGGCAGAGUCUGGAGCGAUAUAUAUGCAGCUCAUUUACUCUGCUACUUAAGGAUCUGCAGGAGCUCCAGUCUUCGCCAGAUUGUCUCUCUUUACAGCGUGCUCCUUGUGUAGCCUCAAGGAUCGUUUGGAUUACCUACAAGCUAACUCUGGAUCAGGACUUCCUCCACUUUCCAGCCUUGCCUCCAGCUGCAAGCUACCUGCCUGCUUGCCGUGCCUGCUGCCAGAACCUUACCUACCACAGCCGGAGACCAUUUUCUCACCAUCCCCCUCCACUGUCGGACUUCAUCCGGGUUUAAUGUCAUCUGCUUUUGGGUCCACAUUCUUGCUAUGGUUCCUACAACCAUGACAAGAAGGACGGGGAGGAUGAGGAAGGCCAAGGACCGUAAUCUCUGAGAUCCAAACCACUUUCGUUGACCAUGUGACCAGCCAUGGUCUAACAAUAAGGGCGACUGGGCAAAUGGUGCAGCCAAAUUUGAAUAUGUACAUUGUAGUGUUCAUCUUCCAGACAUUUCUAAAUAAGAAUAGGUAUCUACUCUCACUCGAAAAUUACAGUGCUGCAUAUCAACACAGUACUCAAUGAGUACAGUAGUAGAGUAUAUCCUGUAAACUGUUCUG
Melanotaenia boesemani (Boeseman's rainbowfish) is the source of this 642-nucleotide long non-coding RNA. RefSeq lists it as uncharacterized. The record is from RefSeq and is a predicted model, not a curated record. NCBI's taxonomy places the organism in Eukaryota, Metazoa, Chordata, Actinopteri, Atheriniformes, Melanotaeniidae. The transcript has 3 exons.